GAUGAAGAACGUAGCGAAAUGCGAUAAGUAAUGUGAAUUGCAGAAUUCAGUGAAUCAUCGAAUGUUUGAACGCACAUUGCGCCCUCUGGUAUUCCGGGGGGCAUGCCUGUUCGAGCGUCAUUAUAACCACUCAAGCUCUCGCUUGGUAUUGGGGUUCGCGGUUCCGCGGCCCCUAAAAUCAGUGGCGGUGCCUGUCGGCUCUACGCGUAGUAAUACUCCUCGCGAUUGAGUCCGGUAGGUCUACUUGCCAGCAACCCCCAAUUUUUACAGGUUGACCUCGGAUCAGGUAGGGAUACCCGCUGAACUUAAGCAUAUCAAUAAGCGGAGGA
RNAcentral lists this unclassified non-coding RNA (329 nucleotides) under soil metagenome. RNAcentral's name for it is "partial contains 5.8S ribosomal RNA, internal transcribed spacer 2, and large subunit ribosomal RNA". The stretch from base 1 to 120 matches the Rfam family "5.8S ribosomal RNA", at positions 35 to 154 of the family's 154-position model. The record is from RNAcentral.